RNAcentral lists this ribosomal RNA (456 nucleotides) under uncultured soil bacterium. RNAcentral describes it as "bacterial SSU rRNA". It matches the Rfam family "Bacterial small subunit ribosomal RNA", at positions 26 to 491 of the family's 1533-position model. The record is from RNAcentral.
AGGACGAACGCUGGCGGCGUGCUUAACACAUGCAAGUCGAGCGGUAAGGCCUUUCGGGGUACACGAGCGGCGAACGGGUGAGUAACACGUGGGUGAUCUGCCCUGCACUCUGGGAUAAGCCUGGGAAACUGGGUCUAAUACCGGAUAUGACCUGCUCUCGCAUGGGGGUGGGUGGAAAGAUUUAUCGGUGCAGGAUGGGCCCGCGGCCUAUCAGCUUGUUGGUGGGUAAUGGCCUACCAAGGCGACGACGGGUAGCCGACCUGAGAGGGUGACCGGCCACACUGGGACUGAGACACGGCCCAGACUCCUACGGGAGGCAGCAGGUGGGAAUAUUGCACAAUGGGCGAAAGCCUGAUGCGAGCGACGCCGCGUGAGGAUGAACGGCCGUUCGGGUUGUAAACCCUUCUUUACAGCGAGGGACGAAGCGACGAAGUGACGGUACCUGACAGAAGAAGC